ACACGACUACAUUAGAUACCCGCGUAGUCCUAGCCGUAAACGAUACUCGCUAGGUGUCGGCCACGGUGCGACCGUUGUCGGUGCCGUAGGGAAGCCGUGAAGCGAGCCACCUGGGAAGUACGGCCGCAAGGCUGAAACUUAAAGGAAUUGGCGGGGAGCACCACAACGGGUGGAGCCUGCGGUUUAAUUGGACUCAACGCCAGGAAGCUCACCGGAUAAGACAGCGGAAUGAUUGCCGGGCUGAAGACCCUGCAUGACCAGCUG
RNAcentral lists this ribosomal RNA (264 nucleotides) under uncultured archaeon. RNAcentral describes it as "partial 16S ribosomal RNA". It matches the Rfam family "Archaeal small subunit ribosomal RNA", at positions 717 to 982 of the family's 1478-position model. The record is from RNAcentral.